AACGAACGCUGGCGGCAGGCUUAACACAUGCAAGUCGAGCGCCCCGCAAGGGGAGCGGCAGACGGGUGAGUAACGCGUGGGAAUCUACCCAUCCCUACGGAACAACUCCGGGAAACUGGAGCUAAUACCGUAUACGCCCUUAGGGGGAAAGAUUUAUCGGGGAUGGAUGAGCCCGCGUUGGAUUAGCUAGUUGGUGGGGGUAAUGGCCUACCAAGGCAACGAUCCAUAGCUGGUCUGAGAGGAUGAUCAGCCACACUGGGACUGAGACACGGCCCAGACUCCUACGGGAGGCAGCAGUGGGGGAAUAUUGGACAAAUGGGCGCAAGCCUGAUCCAGCCAUGCCGCGUGAGUGAUGACGGCCCUAGGGUUGUAAAGCUCUUUCUACCGGUGAAGAAUAAUGACGGUAACCGGGAGAAGAAAGCCCCGGCUAACUUCGUGCCAGCAG
This 445-nucleotide ribosomal RNA is filed under the name uncultured bacterium. Its description in RNAcentral is "bacterial SSU rRNA". It matches the Rfam family "Bacterial small subunit ribosomal RNA", at positions 29 to 514 of the family's 1533-position model. The record is from RNAcentral.